GUGGGGAAUAUUGGACAAUGGGCGAAAGCCUGAUCCAGCCAUGCCGCGUGUGUGAAGAAGGUCUUCGGAUUGUAAAGCACUUUAAGUUGGGAGGAAGGGCAGUAAGUUAAUACCUUGCUGUUUUGACGUUACCGACAGAAUAAGCACCGGCUAACUACGUGCCAGCAGCCGCGGUAAUACGAAGGGUGCAAGCGUUAAUCGGAAUUACUGGGCGUAAAGCGGGCGAAGGUGGUUCAUUAAGUUGGAAGUGAAAUCCACGGGCUCAACCUGGGAACUGCUUUCAAAACUGCUGAGCUAGAGUACGGUAGAGGGUGGUGGAAUUUCCUGUGUAGCGGUGAAAUGCGUAGAUAUAGGAAGGAACACCAGUGGCGAAGGCGACCACCUGGACUGAUACUGACACUGAGGUGCGAAAGCGUGGGGAGCAAACAGGAUUAGAUACCCUUGUAGUCC
This 450-nucleotide ribosomal RNA is filed under the name uncultured bacterium. RNAcentral describes it as "partial 16S ribosomal RNA". It matches the Rfam family "Bacterial small subunit ribosomal RNA", at positions 354 to 796 of the family's 1533-position model. The record is from RNAcentral.